GAUGAACGCUGGCGGCGUGCCUAAUACAUGCAAGUCGAGCGAACAGACGAGUAUCUUGCUCCUCUGACGUUAGCGGCGGACGGGUGAGUAACACGUGGAUAACCUACCUAUAAGACUGGGAUAACUUCGGGAAACCGGAGCUAAUACCGGAUAAUAUAUUGAACCGCAUGGUUCAAUAGUGAAAGACGGUUUUGCUGUCACUUAUAGAUGGAUCCGCGCCGCAUUAGCUAGUUGGUAAGGUAACGGCUUACCAAGGCAACGAUGCGUAGCCGACCUGAGAGGGUGAUCGGCCACACUGGAACUGAGACACGGUCCAGACUCCUACGGGAGGCAGCAGUAGGGAAUCUUCCGAAAUGGGCGAAAGCCUGACGGAGCAACGCCGCGUGAGUGAUGAAGGUCUUCGGAUCGUAAAACUCUGUUAUUAGGGAAGAACAAAUGUGUAAGUAACUAUGCACGUCUUGACGGUACCUAAUCAGAAAGCCACGGCUAACUACGUG
This 497-nucleotide ribosomal RNA is filed under the name uncultured bacterium. RNAcentral's name for it is "partial 16S ribosomal RNA". It matches the Rfam family "Bacterial small subunit ribosomal RNA", at positions 28 to 507 of the family's 1533-position model. The record is from RNAcentral.